GGCAAGCAGGAGGAGGGUGGGGAUGAUGUCAAGUCAGCAUGGCCUUUAUAUCCAGGGCUACACACACGCUACAAUGGCGCGUACAGUGGGUUGCCAAGCCGCGAGGCGGAGCCAAUCCUAAAAAGCGCGUCGUAGUUCGGAUUGCAGGCUGCAACUCGCCUGCAUGAAGUCGGAGUUGCUAGUAACCGCAAAUCAGCACGUUGCGGUGAAUACGUUCCCGGGCCUUGUACACACCGCCCGUCACGUCAUGGGAGUUGGUCACGCCUGAAGUCGGGAAGCCAACCGCAAGGAGGCUACCGCCGAAGGCAGGGCUGAUGACUGGGACGAAGUCGUA
Molecule: ribosomal RNA, 334 nt
Filed under: uncultured bacterium
Lineage: Bacteria
Description: bacterial SSU rRNA
Rfam family: Bacterial small subunit ribosomal RNA
Source: RNAcentral